GUGACUGCAGAUUGCAGAAGCACAGAAGAAGAUACUACUACUACAUAGUAGUACAUAGCCCUAGUAUCUUCAGAGAGCAGGAAGAACAUAGUAGAUAGAGACAUAGAGUGCGCUAUGUAUAUCUGCAGUCUGCAGAGAUGAGGGAGGAUGUGCGUUCUUGUGGGGGGUUUGGGCCCUGUGAUCAGGAGAGAUGACACCGACAUCGCCGGAAUUCGUUCUUGGUCUUGUGCCAUGAUGAAUUGAUGGUCCGUUUGAUGCAGGUGUCAUCUCCCCUGAACAUAGGACUGACUGACCCUGAAUGGAUGUGUACCUCGAUGAUUCUUCGGUUUCUUCUGUUCUGUUCUGUUCUUGAUUUGCUUUUACAAGGUAAUGCCUGAUGCUAGUAUGCAAAUGUCAGCUUGUCUCCUCGAUUGGUUUCUCUUUCCAUGAUUAUCUGCAGGUGAUAAGAGUUGAUUAUCCAAGCUCUGACAUAGACGUGUGAGAAGGACAUAGGUUGCGGAGUCAACCACAAGGUUUGCCAUCCACUCUUGCCAGGGCAGACAGUAAUUUAGGCGUCACUUAGCUGUAAAAACGGGAAUACCAUUAACUACUGCCCAGAAAAACUCGGUGUCUUCAUUGACAACACAUGGUGCAUUCUU
RNAcentral lists this non-coding RNA (638 nucleotides) under Oryza sativa Japonica Group (Japanese rice). Lineage: Eukaryota; Viridiplantae; Streptophyta; Magnoliopsida; Poales; Poaceae. The record is from RNAcentral.